AGUCUUAUAUUCAAUAAAUGAUUUAAAAUUGCAAAUUUUAAGGUAUAGAUUAUAAAUAUUUCUAUUAAGGCUU
This 73-nucleotide transfer RNA is filed under the name Sesamia inferens (purple stem borer). RNAcentral's name for it is "tRNA-Cys". Lineage: Eukaryota; Metazoa; Arthropoda; Insecta; Lepidoptera; Noctuidae. The record is from RNAcentral.